CCCUUAGAUGUUCUGGGCUGCACGCGCGCUACACUGACACACUCAGCGAGUUCCUGUACCGAGAGGUUCGGGUAAUCAUGUGAGCGUGUGUCGUGAUGGGGAUAGAAUAUUGUAAUUAUUGCUCUUCAACGAGGAAUUCCUAGUAAGCGCAAGUCAGCAGCUUGCGCUGAUUACGUCCCUGCCCUUUGUACACACCGCCCGUCGCUCCUACCGAUUGGGUGAUCCGGUGAAUGACUCGGACUUUGACGUUCCUAGACACUAGGUUCGUCGAGGGAAGUUUUGUGAACCUUAUCACUUAGAGGAAGGUGAAGUCGUAACA
Molecule: ribosomal RNA, 319 nt
Filed under: uncultured eukaryote
Lineage: Eukaryota
Description: partial 18S ribosomal RNA
Rfam family: Eukaryotic small subunit ribosomal RNA
Source: RNAcentral